This is a long non-coding RNA of Neofelis nebulosa (Clouded leopard), 3951 nucleotides long. RefSeq lists it as uncharacterized. The record is from RefSeq and is a predicted model, not a curated record. Lineage: Eukaryota; Metazoa; Chordata; Mammalia; Carnivora; Felidae. The transcript has 2 exons.
CCUGGAAGGCCCGAGAGAAGCACAGAGAAGAGAAAUGGGAUUCGCGUUAAGGCCCGAAAUGACAGGUUCAUCCUUGGUUGUGCUGGUCGAUGCCCGACAAUCUUGUGCCAGAACAUUAAAACAAAACAAAACAACACAACCGUUGUGUGCCAAUAUCUUCACACUGAUAUAGAACUUUUACCUCCUUAUUAGUACAUGGUCAUAGGAUGCUAGGGUGCAACAGAAAUGAACGAGUUUACAGUACCCACAACUGUCUAAUCAGAAUGAUUUAAAAGCCCCCGGAACAAGAUAGACUCAAGACAACUAUAUCAGCGGACCUGUCACACAUGCUUUCUCUGCUCAACGGGGAAGACAGCUGCCCUGAGCGGGAGUCCACACACAGGAAAGCUCAACUCUGACCACGCUGGACUGAGGAGGCUGACCCAGCGAAAAGGACCCCAAAUCUACCUGUGGAUCUCUCGAAAAGAAAGGGAUGUGGCAAAAUACUGGAAGGACUGUGAGGGGAGCACACAGGCCACAGAGGGAUGCAUAAAACACUCCAGCGUGGCUCGAGAAGAUGGCUUUGCGAAGUCACAGACUGCAUGUGGGAAGAACCCACCAAGGAGCAAGAAGGGCUCCAAAUGGAUCACCAAGCACAUACAACUCAGUAUGUGCUACGAAUGAGAGGUGGACUGCAACAUGAAAAGCUUGAUAAUGAUGGAGACAGUUUGGUAAGUGUCUGAUAAAACUUGCCUGGACAGGAAAAACCUACAUGGACCUAAUUUUUUUUGGAGAUUUUUUUUUUUUUAAUAAUGGUUUCUUUAGUCACUAUGUACUCAGGUUUGAGCCGAUUUUCUCCAGUCUCCUGGGAAUUACCCAAACUGACCCCCGAGGAUAGAAAAAGUAACAAUGAGCAGACGGGGAAAGCUCUCACGGGAGCCAAUGGUCCCUGGAACAAGCGAGCGACACAGGCACACCCUGGAGGGAAGGCCCCCCUGGGGCCGCGCACGCGGCUCCCCAGCACAGGAAGGAGCAAACCGCUUCCCCGAUGUUGAUGUGAGGCCGGCAUCCUGUCAUCACCCAGACAGACCCUGCCGAUCGGCCCAGUGUGAGAGGCGGCGCUGGGUCUGGGUCAAUGCCAGACCUGAAGACAGUACAGCAGGGUCCAGAGCCAUGUGCUACCCACAAGCAGAACCCGUCGAGGAGUCUACUGCAGUUCACCACGUGACUACAACGAAUGGGGAAAGCCACGCAGUCGUUUCCACGGGCGCUGAAAAGCAAUUCGAGGAGACAGAACACUUACUUCUAGUGAAGGCUUUAAAAAACGACGAUCCGUUUUUACCAAUACUUCACAUUGUUUAAAAACAGACACAAUUAGGGGCACCUGGGUGGCUCAGGUCACCAUCCCGAGGUUCGUGAGUUUGAGCCCCGCAUCAGGCUCUCUGCCAUCAAGCGCGGAGCCCGCUGGGACCCUCCGUCUCCCUCCCCUGCUUGCACCCUCUCAAAAAUAAACAUUAAAAAAAAAAACAGACACGAUUAGAUAAAAGACAAAAUGAGAAGGGGACAAAUUAGAGAUGACAGCCAAAGAUAAUUCAGUAAUAACUCAGAAUCAAAUGAAAUUAAUACGUCAAAAUCAAUAGCUGUCUUAAAACCAACCACUGGUUUUAAAAAUGUAAUCAAAGAAAAGAUCCCACUUAAAAGAGCAAUUAACUCUCUCAACUUGGAUCUCUACCAUAUACACUGCAUCAAAAUAAAUUACAGGUGGCUCAAAGAGUUCAACAUAAUUAACGGCCAAGAAUAUUCAGAAUAGGGAAGGCCCUUCUAAACAAAUAAACCCAGAAGUCAAAAAUACUGACAAAAGUAUUGAAAUUUUUCCCACAGAGGGGGGAAAAAAUCAGAGAGGAAUGGCUAGUUUCUUGUAAAAAAAAAAAAAUCCUUCAAAUUGAAAGUAAAGAGGGGCAACCCAAAAUUAAAAUAAAAGCUAAGAAAAAACAGGAAAUUACGAAUGGCUUUUAAACAUGUGUGAGAUGUGUUCACUGGUAAUGAGAGAAAUUAAGAACUAGAACUACAGUUCCAUACCACCGGUUACCUGUCUACCCAGCAGAGAUCAAGUUCGGUAAUCCACCCCGUGAGACCCUCCACGCCGGAGAGACCUGGACAGACACGCACUUACACACGCCCGAUGUGAGCACAGACCCCUCUUCGGGGAGUGUUCCGGCAAUAUCCAGCAACAAUACACUUCGCUUCUGACCCAGCAGUUUUGCUGCUAGGAAUUUUAUCUAGGCUGUACCUAAUAUACGUAUACAAAUACACGUGGCCACACAAGGCCAUUAGCACGGUUUUUAGAAGAUGGGGUUUCUGUUUCAGACAAUUUCCUGACCCUCCCACUGAAAGUCACUUAAUACUGCCGGAUAAAUUACACCCCUGAAAAUGCACUGCUCGGUGUCUCAGUUGCCGGCAUGCAUGUGGGGUGGGACGAGUCUGUUGCCAGGUGCCAACCUCAGGAACUACGGGUAGGGCUGGAGCUUCCCAAAACACAGCGGCAAGAAGGUAAGACUUGGGCCCACCCAAAGGGGGUGGGAAUAGAUUCCUGCUUUACACACACACAAAAAAAGUCACAGUUCUAUAAAUGAGGGGUGCCUGGGUGGCUCAGGUAAGCAUCCGACUCUUGGGUUCGGCUCAGGUCAUGACCUCAUGGUUCGUGGGGCUCAAACCCCUGGGCUGAAAGCACAGAGGCGGCUUGGGAGUCUUUGUCUUUUCUUCUCUCUCUGCUCUCACUCUCUCAAAUUUUUUUUAAUGUUUAUUUUUGAGAGAGACAGGGCAUGAGUGGGGGAGGGGCCGAGAGAGGGCGACACAGAAUCUGAAGCAGGCUCCAGGCUGUCAGCACAGAGACUGACGCAGGGCUCGGACUCGUGAGCCUAAGUCGGAUGCCUCACAGACUGAGCCACCCAAGCGCCCCUCGAAAUAAGUAAAGUUAAAAAAAAUUCUUAUAUAAAACUGCGGUAAAUGAAAACACAGCCCCUGAAAUUAAAUUCAUUAGAUAGGCUGGAAGACUGUGUGGACUAGACGAUAAAUCUGAAAGAUGACCUAGAAUGGAGUGCACGUGAAUAAAAAAUGUGACCAACGGAUUAGGAGACACAAAUGAUGGAAGGGGACAGCUCAGCCUGUGUCCAAAAGAAGUUCCAGACGGAGAAAACAGAGCAUACUGCAAAGAGGCAAUAUUCGAAUAGCGAGCGGCGGGCAGGUUUCUAGCAUUCACGGGGUUAAAGGUGCCCGCUCCCUCUAGUCGCGGGCACUGUCAUGCUGUUUGCGAAGCAGACUCGUUCACGACGGGGGCACUGGGUAGGCUGGGCGGUGGCCGCACAGGCACGCUGUUCCUGUUCAAACCGUGCCGUGUCUCACACGCGCUCCCGUACGUAAACCUGGAGUUCAGAAAUCCGUACUCCUGGCACACGGGCGAGGGCCUGGAACCACCUCACACUCUCUGACUAUGGCGCGCCCCGCGGGCCCCCCUCCCCGGCGCGGGGUCUGGACCCGAGAUGCAGACAGCGUGGAGCAGACUUGGGAGACCAAGGUCUCCCUCCAUCAGCAUUUAGAGCCACUUGAGGCAUCUGUGAGAAAAGGUGGACCCCCUGGAAAAGGCAGGCUGGCAGCAGGCGACAGCUGCACCGCUUACCAACCGCAACGUGAAGGGGAAGAUUCUAGCCCCAGUACUUGUCAGCGGAUAUCUGCUUAAUAGGGGUCCAUUUCACCGUGGUGAUUUUCAUAAAGAGCUCCUCUGUUGAAUAUUUAUUCUCCAUAAUUUACAGUUUGGCUGUUAGGAAGACAAAGGCAAACACAAAUUCGGUCCAGAAGUUCAAAGUUUGCCAUCUGUUUUCCUAUUGUAUUUAGAUACCAGCAUGGAUGGCUCCAAACAAAAUAAACAAAUACACCAAAAGAUGCAGCAUUUGCGUAUUUAACAUCACUAAGAAA